CAGUAGCCGCGGUAAUACGGAGGGUGCAAGCGUUAAUCGGAAUUACUGGGCGUAAAGCGCACGCAGGCGGUCUGUCAAGUCAGAUGUGAAAUCCCCGGGCUUAACCUGGGAACUGCAUUUGAAACUGGCAGGCUAGAGUCUUGUAGAGGGGGGUAGAAUUCCAGGUGUAGCGGUGAAAUGCGUAGAGAUCUGGAGGAAUACCGGUGGCGAAGGCGGCCCCCUGGACAAAGACUGACGCUCAGGUGCGAAAGCGUGGGGAGCAAACAGGAUUAGAUACCCCUGUAGUCCCUGUCUCUUAUAC
This 301-nucleotide ribosomal RNA is filed under the name uncultured bacterium. RNAcentral's name for it is "partial 16S ribosomal RNA". It matches the Rfam family "Bacterial small subunit ribosomal RNA", at positions 509 to 807 of the family's 1533-position model. The record is from RNAcentral.